Molecule: non-coding RNA, 45 nt
Filed under: Schistosoma margrebowiei
Lineage: Eukaryota; Metazoa; Platyhelminthes; Trematoda; Strigeidida; Schistosomatidae
Source: RNAcentral
ACUCAGCUGACGAGUUCGAAAUAGGACGAAACGCACAUCCUGGAU